RNAcentral lists this unclassified non-coding RNA (224 nucleotides) under uncultured fungus. RNAcentral describes it as "sequence contains ITS1, 5.8S rRNA gene". The stretch from base 176 to 224 matches the Rfam family "5.8S ribosomal RNA", at positions 1 to 49 of the family's 154-position model. Lineage: Eukaryota; Fungi. The record is from RNAcentral.
UCUCCGUAGGUGAACCUGCGGAGGGAUCAUUACCGAGCGAGGGCCUCCGGGCCCGACCUCCCACCCCUUGAUAGACGUCUGGUCUUCCUCGGGGGGCGACCCGGACGCGUCCGGGUCUCCCCGGGAGUCACCCACUCUACGUCCUUUGCGUCGGAGUGCAACGGUAAAAUAUCAAAACUUUCAACAACGGAUCUCUUGGUUCUGGCAUCGAUGAAGAACGCAGC